RNAcentral lists this ribosomal RNA (501 nucleotides) under uncultured bacterium. RNAcentral's name for it is "partial 16S ribosomal RNA". It matches the Rfam family "Bacterial small subunit ribosomal RNA", at positions 30 to 523 of the family's 1533-position model. The record is from RNAcentral.
AUUGAACGCUGGCGGCAGGCUUAACACAUGCAAGUCGAGCGGGGGAAGGUAGCUUGCUACCGGACCUAGCGGCGGACGGGUGAGUAAUGCUUAGGAAUCUGCCUAUUAGUGGGGGACAACAUCGCGAAAGGGAUGCUAAUACCGAAUACGUCCUACGGGAGAAAGCAGGGGAUCUUCGGACAUUGCGCUAAUCGACGAGCCUAAGUCGGAUUAGCUAGUAGGUGGGGUAAAGGCCUACCAAGGAGACGAUCUGUAGCGGGUCUGAGAGGAAGGUCCGCCACACUGGGACUGAGACACAGCCCAGACUCCUACGGGAGGCAGCAGUGGGGAAUAUUGGACAAUGGGGGGAACCCUGAUCCAGCCAUGCCGCGUGUGUGAAGAAGGCCUUAUGGUUGUAAAGCACUUUAAGCGAGGAGGAGGCUACUUUAGUUAAUACCUAGAGAUAGUGGACGUUACUCGCAGAAUAAGCACCGGCUAACUCUGUGCCAGCAGCCGCAGUAA